This 536-nucleotide ribosomal RNA is filed under the name Kassina fusca. Its description in RNAcentral is "partial large subunit ribosomal RNA". It matches the Rfam family "Bacterial large subunit ribosomal RNA", at positions 1856 to 2606 of the family's 2925-position model. The record is from RNAcentral. Lineage: Eukaryota; Metazoa; Chordata; Amphibia; Anura; Hyperoliidae.
CGCCUGCCCUGUGACUUAGUUUAACGGCCGCGGUACCUUAACCGUGCAAAGGUAGCACAAUCAAUCGUCCUCUAAAUAGGGACUAGUAUGAAUGGCUUCACGAGGGCCUAACUGUCUCCCCUUUUUAAUCAAUGAAACUGAUCUUCUCGUGAAGAAGCGAGAAUAGAAAUAUAAGACGAGAAGACCCUAUGGAGCUUUAAACCCAUUACCAUCUGCCCUUAUUACACCCGAACAAUUGGCAGCCCUGUUCUUAAAUGGUUUUCGGCUGGGGUGGCCCUGGAGUAAAACAUACCCUCCAGACUGAACGGUUUAAACCCCUAAUCCUAGAAUUACAACUCAAAGAAUCAAUACUUUGACAUAAUUGACCCAAUAAAUUGAUCAACGAACCAAGUUACCCUAGGGAUAACAGCGCAAUCCAUUUCAAGAGCCCCUAUCGACAAAUGGGUUUACGACCUCGAUGUUGGAUCAGGGUGUCCUAGCGGCGCAGCCGCUGCUAAAGGUUCGUUUGUUCAACGAUUAAUAACCCUACGUGAUCU